This 393-nucleotide ribosomal RNA is filed under the name uncultured bacterium. RNAcentral describes it as "partial 16S ribosomal RNA". It matches the Rfam family "Bacterial small subunit ribosomal RNA", at positions 523 to 918 of the family's 1533-position model. The record is from RNAcentral.
AUACGGAGGAUGCAAGCGUUAUCCGGAUUUAUUGGGUUUAAAGGGUGCGUAGGCUGUUUGUCAAGUCAGGGGUGAAAUACCUGAGCCUAACUCAGGAACUGCCUUUGAUACUGGCAGGCUGGAAUACGGAUGCCGUGGGAGGAAUGAGUAGUGUAGCGGUGAAAUGCAUAGAUAUUACUCAGAACACCGAUUGCGAAGGCAUCUCACGAAUCCGUCAUUGACGCUGAGGCACGAAAGCGUGGGGAUCAAACAGGAUUAGAUACCCUGGUAGUCCACGCAGUAAACGAUGAUAACUAACCGUCGGCGAUAGAGUGUCGGUGGCCAAGCGAAAGCGAUAAGUUAUCCACCUGGGGAGUACGUUCGCAAGAAUGAAACUCAAAGGAAUUGACGGGG